RNAcentral lists this long non-coding RNA (4261 nucleotides) under Homo sapiens (human). Its description in RNAcentral is "HSALNT0279034". The record is from RNAcentral. Lineage: Eukaryota; Metazoa; Chordata; Mammalia; Primates; Hominidae.
AAACCAUAAAGAAACGCAAGAAAAUGAGUCUAAGGUGACAAUAGUUGUUACCUAGAGGCAAGUGAGACAGAAAUGACUGCAGACAGCUGGGGGCACACAGGGAACCCCAGGCUGCUGGUAAUAUUCCAUUUCAUGACCUGGUGUUGAGGUCAUGAGCACUUACAGGGGAGUCUCCUUUUCCUUACUUAUCAACGUGUGCCAUGUUUAUGCCAUUUACCAUAUGUCUGUAUUACAAUUCAGAGAAGGAAAAAAGUAACAUUCAAAGAAGGAAGGAAGGAAAAAGGGAAAGAGAGAGGGAGGGAGGGAGGCAGGCAGGCAGGCUGUAAAAGGAAUCUGCAUCACACAGCACUGGGGAGAAGACAGGGGGCUCUUCCGUGAGGUGUGGCGAAGUUGAGUCCUCAUGAUGGCUGCAGACCUGGGUCUCUGCAAACUAAUUCUCGGCACACAAAGAGCAGAAUCUCUAGUCCAAGAGUUAAAUUCAGAAAACCAAUUUAUUGAUUCAUAAUGAGAAGUAAAAAUGGAUAUGAAAACUUACAUAAAUUAAUACAUGAAAUAAUUAAAAGGAAAGUAUGUGUGUAGUUUCCAAAGGUUGUUUCAAUAAGAAUUUUUUUCAAAUACAAGGUAAGACUUUUUAGUAUUGGGCUAAAUGGGUUUUAAGAUGAAAAACAUUAUGAUGCCAAAAAGCGAUGUUAUAUACUGCCAAAACAGUGUGCUAGAUCAAGAAGAUAGUAGUUAUGAAUAAAUAAGCCCUUUAAAAUAGCUCAUCACAAUAUAUAAAAUAACAACUGACAGCAUUACAAGAGAACAUAGAGACAACAAAAUUUAUUGCCCAAGAUUUUCACAAAGCCCUAUUAGAGACUGGUAGAUUAGAGGGACAAAAAAAAAAAUCAAAACAAAAAAGCAUAAAUGCAUACAAAAUUUGAUUGACAAGAUUAAUAAAAAUCCCAGAGCAAAAUAUAUGUGUGUGUGGAGCGAAGCUUUCACAACCACGGAUGAUGGACGAGGUUGGAAGCUACAAUGAGCCCAAACAAUCCACCCAGCUUAGUAUGUUCCCUGAGCACAAAGCAGUGAAAUUAGAAACCAGUAACAAAAAUGAUUAAAAAUAAAUAAUAUACCAUAUGUUCAAAAACUAAAAUGUCAUUCUGCUAAAAGGACUUUAAGAUACAAAGUAAAACAUAAGAGAAUUACAAAAUAAUGGAGCCACACUGUAGUGAUAGCUCCAUAUGUUUAAAUGUAUUUAUCAGAAAGUAAGAAAAAAUGAGCUAAGUAUUCAAUCCAAGCAGAAAACAAACAAGAAACAGAAGCAACCCAAAAGGGACAAACAAGAAGAAAAUAAAAUAGAUAAGAACAUAAAUCAAUGAAAUAGGGAAGAUUAACAAAACCAAAAGCAAUUUCUUUAAAAUAUUAAUACAAUAUACAAAAAGCUCUGGCAAAUCUAGUCAAUACAAUAAGGGGAAGAUGCAAAUUUACAAAACAGAAUCCAAAAGAGGAAAUAACUGCAAAAACAAUGUAAAAUCUUUUUUAUAAAGACAUCAAUUUGAAAACACAAGGCAACAUGGACACACUGUUGGAAAAGUAUGAUAUUCCAAAUUGGAGCAAGGAUAAAUAGAUUUUCAUUUAAAAUUCAUAAUGGUAAUUAAAGCCUCCCCCAAGAGGGAAAAAAAAAGGCAAUAAAAAAUCAGGCCAAGAACAUUCCACAAAAAAGUUACAUCAAACUUUUAAACAAGAAAGAAUCUAUGUCUUACACAAAUCACAAGUUGUUCCAAACAAUGAGAGAGAAAGAGAGAGAGACAGACAGAGACAGAGACCUUCUGUUAAUUAUAAAAUUGUUUGCUUGAUUCCAAAGCUGGUUUAAAAAAAAAAAAAAAAAAAAAAACUUCAAAAUGCAAAGUAUAGGCUCUUUUCACUUAUGAAGUCUUACUUACAUAUUUGCUAAUUGACUUUAAUGUUGUCUGAAAAUAAUAAUAAUAUCAUUAUAAAUAGAGUUCAUCAAAGGAAUGAAAAAAAGUUUUAACAUCAGAAAGCCUAUGAAUUUAAUUCACCACUUUAAGAUACUAAGAUGAAGAAAGAAAAAAUAUUGACUAGGUCAGUAGAAGCAAAAAAAAAUGCACUUGUAAAUAUCCAACUUGUUUUUAAAUAAAAUUAUUUACAUUAUUAUUAUUACAUACAGUAUUCCCAGAAUACUGUAACUAAAGGAGAAUGUUCUUUAUCUGAUAAAUAACUAUGCUUGUCUUUGACGAAUACCAUAUUCAGAGGAUGGACUUGAGGCAUGGCUCCUUUAAGACUGGAAACAAGAAAAACGCAAUCUUAUUGCUACUGGUAAAGCUGUCCAAUGGACUCAUCAAGAGAAAGAUCAACAAGAGGUAGAAGAAUAUAUUAAGACAAGUCAAGGCUAUCCUUAUUUGCAGAUGGCAUGAUCACCUAAAUAGAAAAUGCAUCAGAAUCAAUGCACGCAAUAUUGGAAUUAAGAGUUCUACAAAAAUUAAGAGGUGUGAUUUCAACCAUACCAUGAUGUUUCCUCACACUGGUAAUUUCUAACUAAAACAUAUAAUAAUAAAACAAUAUAACAUUUACAAUAACAAGAAAAACUUAAAUAUAUCUAAGAAUAAAUCUAACAAAGAAUUCAUGAUUCUUUAUAGAGAAAGUUUUAAAAUUCAUUAAAGGAUAUAAAGAAAGAUUAGAAUAAAGAGAAAAUAUACCAUAUCCCAUAAUGGACUAGUUUAACAUUUGAAGAAAUGGCAGUUCUCCACAAAAGCCAUACUUAAAUGAGAUUCUGAUUAAAAAAAAAAAAUUUUAGGAGCGAUUUUUGAAGACUUCAACAAUCUUAUUCUGACAUUUACAUGAAAAAAUAAAAUUCUUUAAAAAAUAAACAAUUUCAGAAAAAGAGAAUAAAAGGGACCUGACCUACAAGAUAUGAAAAAAUUCCACAAAAUACUACUUAAAAAAAAGUGCAGUUUUGGUACAGAAAUAUUAAAUUCAUAAGUGGAACAAAACAGAAAGCUCAACACCAAACCCAUGUGUGUUUAAGGAUCUGUUUUAUGACAGAAGUGACACACAUCAGUGAGACAGGAAUAGACUUUUUUAAUACAUGGCUUUGGGUACCACUGGCUUGCCUGAUGGGUAAAACUAAAAUUGGAACUCUUCCUUACAUCCUAAGUAAAAUGAUCUCUAGAUUGAUUAAAAACUCAAAUGAAAAGGCAUAAAAAUAAAGCUAAUAGGAGACUAUUGGAGAAAACUUUUUAUCUUGAACUGAAUAUGCACUUUAUGUCAUACCUCAAAUGUACAAAAUCUAAGGUGAAAAAAACUGGAUUUUACCACAGUGAUAUGGAAGGGGGACAGGGACGUGCUGGGUAGAGGAAGGUGUGUGUUGGGGGGAGCCAGAGGCAAUCCAGGGGUCCAUGACAAGAGGAACAGGGUAGGUUAAGGUAUGGUAGAUGCACGCUGUGAAGCAAAGGUCAGAAGAGGGUCAUACAGAAAUGUCAGUGUGUUUUCACAACAGUGGUGAGUGAAAAAAAUUAGGAAACAAAUGAGAUCUAUAUAUUGCACAAUAACAUGUAUGGAAAUGUAAAAUGAACACAUAACCCUUGACAAAUUAGAUUUUUCAAAGCUACACAAAUAUUUAGGUACAGAUAAAAAGACAUUAGAAAGAGUGACUCUGUCGGAGGGGUGGAGAGGGGAUGGGAGAUGGGAUCCAGCAUGAAGGAGAAAUGGAAUUAAACAACCAGAGGUCUUGUAGGGCAUGAUGGCGAGAAUGGAUUAUCAGUGAGGAGUAGGAUUAACAACUCUCUAUGAACCUAUGAACCAAAAGUACAGCUACGAUUACUACUAAAACUAAUACUAAUGAGAAUAGUGUGUAAGAAAAGCGUGGACUUUGUUCAAAACUUUAAUAUGCCAGCCGGUAAAUGCGUGACCCUGGGAAACUUACUCGCCUGUCUGAGCCUCAGUUUUCUCAAGCAUGUAAUGAAAAUGAGAACAAAAAUUUCUUAGUUUUUCCAAACUCAAGUCCAAAUAAAGGUCCAAAUUCAAGAAGACAGAGGAUUGCUCUUCAGCCAUGACAAAAAGUAACUACCAAAACUGAUUUUAAGCCUGCCCUGACAAAUUGAGUCAACUUUUUAUCAGUAACUACAUUUCUGAGUGACAGCCAUUCAGUGGCAGCCUCACUGUCCCAACCCCGAGUCCACGGCCAAAGUCAUCCAAUCCCUAAAUGCUCCCCCUCCCAAGUCUGCCAGUCUUGGAGCUCCACAAGCAGUUUGCGCUGUUC